AUUGAACGCUGGCGGCAUGCCUAACACAUGCAAGUCGAACGGCAGCACAGUAUGUAGCAAUACAUAUGGGUGGCGAGUGGCGGACGGGUGCGUAAUAUGUAGGGAUCUGCCCUGAAGCGGGGGACAACCCGGGGAAACCCGGGCUAAUACAGCAUAAUACUCUACGGAGGAAAUCUGGCACGCAAGUGCUUGGGCUCUAGGCUGAACCUACAUCCGAUUAGCUAGUUGGUGAGGUAAUAGCUCACCAAGGCAAUGAUCGGUAGCUGGUCUGAGAGGAUGACCAGCCACACUGGGACUGAGACACGGCCCAGACUCCUACGGGAGGCAGCAGUGGGGAAUAUUGGACAAUGGGGGAAACCCUGAUCCAGCAAUGCCGCGUGGGUGAAGAAGGCCUUCGGGUUGUAAAGCCCUUUAGGCGGGGAAGAAGGUUAUAGGGUGAUAAGCCUUAUAGCUUGACGGUACCCGCAGAAUAAGCACCGGCUAACUCUGUGCCAGCCGCCGCGGUAA
This 507-nucleotide ribosomal RNA is filed under the name uncultured bacterium. RNAcentral's name for it is "partial 16S ribosomal RNA". It matches the Rfam family "Bacterial small subunit ribosomal RNA", at positions 30 to 523 of the family's 1533-position model. The record is from RNAcentral.